GUUUAAGAGACAACCUGGAGAACUGAAACAUCUAGGUAACCAGAGGAAAAGAAAUCAAUUGAGAUUCCGUUAGUAGUGGCGAGCGAACGCGGACUAGGCCAGUAGUUUUGUUAAAAAAAUUUGAAUAGUUUGGAAAUGCUAACCAUAGAGGGUGAUAGUCCCGUAUGAGUAAUGUUUAACAAAAUUCUUGAGUAAAGCGGGACACGAGAAAUCCUGCUCGAAUAUAGGGGGACCACCCUCUAAGCCUAAAUACUCUUCAGUGACCGAUAGUGAACUAGUACCGUGAGGGAAAGGUGAAAAGAACCCCUAUUAGGGGAGUGAAAUAGAACCUGAAACUGCAUGCCUACAAUCAGUCGAAGCUCUUUUUAGAGUGACGGCGUACCUUUUGUAUAAUGGGUCAGUGACUUAAUUUAUUAAGCAAGCUUAAGCCAUCUAGGUGUAGGCGCAGCGAAAGCAAGUCUUAAUAGGGCGAUUAGUUUAAUGAAUUAGACCCGAAAACGAAUGAGCUUACCAUGAGCAGGUUGAAAGUUGGGUAACACCAACCGGAGGACCGAACCAGUUGACGUUGAAAAGUCUUUGGAUGACUUGUGGUAAGGGGUGAAAGGCCAACCAAAUUCGUAGAUAGCUGGUUUUCCGCGAAAACUAUUUAGGUAGUGCGUUGAAUAAAUAGAUGUUUAGAGGUAGAGCACUAAAUGGGCUAGGGGGAAGAGAUUCUUACCAAACCUAAUAAAACUCCGAAUGCUAGACAUUGU
This 752-nucleotide ribosomal RNA is filed under the name uncultured bacterium. RNAcentral describes it as "bacterial LSU rRNA". It matches the Rfam family "Bacterial large subunit ribosomal RNA", at positions 171 to 973 of the family's 2925-position model. The record is from RNAcentral.